AGAGUUUGAUCCUGGCUCAGAGUGAACGCUGGCGGCGUGCUUAACACAUGCAAGUCGAACGAGAACGGCUUAUUGAACCUUCGGGGGAUAUAAGUGUCAGCUAAGUGGCGCACGGGUGAGUAAUAUAUAGGUAACGUGCCUCUAAGAGGGGGAUAACAGUUGGAAACGACUGCUAAUACCCCAUAUGCCCUUGUAACAUAAGUUACUAGGGGAAAUGGUUUAUUCCGCUUAGAGAUCGGCCUGUACAGUAUCAGCUUGUUGGUAGGGUAACGGCUUACCAAGGCUAUGACGCUUAACUGGUUUGAGAGGAUGAUCAGUCACACUGGAACUGAGACACGGUCCAGACUCCUACGGGAGGCAGCAGUGGGGAAUAUUGCACAAUGGAGGAAACUCUGAUGCAGCAACGCCGCGUGGAGGAUGACACUUUUCGGAGCGUAAACUCCUUUUAUAUGAGAAGAUAAUGACGGUAUCAUAUGAAUAAGCACCGGCUAACUCCGUGCCAGCAGCCGCGGUAAUACGGGGGGUGCAAGCGUUACUCGGAAUCACUGGGCGUAAAGAGGGCGUAGGCUGGAUAAUAAGUUGGAAGUGAAAUCCUAUGGCUCAACCAUAGAACUGCUUCCAAAACUAUUUUCCUAGAGUAUGGGAGAGGUAGAUGGAAUUUCUGGUGUAGGGGUAAAAUCCGUAGAGAUCAGAAGGAAUACCGAUUGCGAAGGCGAUCUACUGGAACAUUAUUGACGCUGAGG
Molecule: ribosomal RNA, 743 nt
Filed under: uncultured Campylobacterota bacterium
Lineage: Bacteria; Pseudomonadati; Campylobacterota
Description: bacterial SSU rRNA
Rfam family: Bacterial small subunit ribosomal RNA
Source: RNAcentral